GAGGUCUAGGAAAAGCUGAUCAUUGUGAGUACACCCAGUAAGGAGGACAACACCAGAUCACAAAUACUGGGGUGGAUCUCUUUCUUACUGUCCAUUGUCCUUUGUCUUAAGAUUUGGUAGAAUAUUA
Molecule: small nucleolar RNA, 127 nt
Filed under: Jaculus jaculus (lesser Egyptian jerboa)
Lineage: Eukaryota; Metazoa; Chordata; Mammalia; Rodentia; Dipodidae
Description: Small nucleolar RNA SNORA81 (ENSJJAG00000001918.1)
Rfam family: Small nucleolar RNA SNORA81
Source: Rfam by way of RNAcentral